CCUUGUCAGCGGGAUUAGGGUCUGAAAAACUCUGUUGUCAUCAGCUUCAUCUCCUUCAUAACCCACCGGAUCGGAGUUAAAUAAUAGCACUACAUUA
Molecule: non-coding RNA, 97 nt
Organism: Populus trichocarpa (black cottonwood)
Lineage: Eukaryota; Viridiplantae; Streptophyta; Magnoliopsida; Malpighiales; Salicaceae
Source: Rfam